CAGCUUGCUGCUUUGCUGACGAGUGGCGGACGGGUGAGUAAUGUCUGGGAAACUGCCUGAUGGAGGGGGAUAACUACUGGAAACGGUAGCUAAUACCGCAUAACGUCGCAAGACCAAAGAGGGGGACCUUCGGGCCUCUUGCCAUCGGAUGUGCCCAGAUGGGAUUAGCUAGUAGGUGGGGUAACGGCUCACCUAGGCGACGAUCCCUAGCUGGUCUGAGAGGAUGACCAGCCACACUGGAACUGAGACACGGUCCAGACUCCUACGGGAGGCAGCAGUGGGGAAUAUUGCACAAUGGGCGCAAGCCUGAUGCAGCCAUGCCGCGUGUAUGAAGAAGGCCUUCGGGUUGUAAAGUACUUUCAGCGGGGAGGAAGGCGAUAAGGUUAAUAACCUUGUCGAUUGACGUUACCCGCAGAAGAA
This 420-nucleotide ribosomal RNA is filed under the name Salmonella sp. FP5. RNAcentral describes it as "bacterial SSU rRNA". It matches the Rfam family "Bacterial small subunit ribosomal RNA", at positions 76 to 489 of the family's 1533-position model. The record is from RNAcentral. Lineage: Bacteria; Pseudomonadati; Pseudomonadota; Gammaproteobacteria; Enterobacterales; Enterobacteriaceae.